UUUUUUUUUUUUUUUGCCUUUUAGCCAAUUUUUGUUCAGCUUUCAUGUUAAUUAAAAAAUAAGCCUAUGCUCUCUCCCGCUGCCCAGGCCCCAAAUGCCAGCAGGUGCGUCCCCACCUCCCUGGGGGGUUUAGAGCCUGGGACAGGGAUGUGACCGGCCCACACAGGCGGUCCUGAGAAGAGGGACGGCCGCCGGAGCUUCCGGACACGAAGCCCAGGGGACGAGCAGAGCGCGGCGCUGUUUCCAGCCCCCGGUGAGCAGCAGGCCCUGGGGGGAGCGCGGGCAGGGCAGUUAUUCGAGAACACGGCUGGAAGGAACAAAGCCUGCGGGACAGUGCCGACCACUGUCCCCACCACACGGACCGCGAUGCUGCGGGAUAAUCGCUCAAGACACGUACCGAGGGAACAUUCGCCUCAAAUUAACCUUCCGCGGGCACAAUUCAGUGGCAUUGGCUUUUUGGUAUUUUGGUUUGUUUUGCUUUCUAGGGCCGCACCUGCGGCAUAUGGACGUUCCCAGGCCACGGGUCGAACUGGAACUACAGCUGCUGGCCUCCACCACCGUCCCAGCCACGCAGGAUCCGAGCCGCAUCUGUGACCCACACCACAGCUCACGGCAACGCCAGAGCCUUGACCCCCUGAGCGGGGACCGGGAUCGAACCUGCAUCCUCUUGGAUGCCCGUCAGAUUCGCUUCCCCCGAGCCCGCCGGGAGUGUCUGUCGUUGCAGCCUCUGCAUUUCUAAUGCACGUCACCAAAGGCAUCGUCACCUUCCACAAAUUUCCUGGCCAAUGUGUAUCUUUUUUGGAGCAAUGACCCAUUUUUUAAUUGAAUCAUGUGACAUUCUGCUGUGAGCUCUGAGAGUUUUAAUAUGCUCUGGAUGCCAGGCCCUUGUCAGAUGGACGGUUUGCAAAUAUUUCCCCCCGUUCUGGAGGCUGUCUUUUCACUUCCUUAACAGUGUCUCCUCGGAUGCCCAGAAGGUUUUCAGUUUUUUUCUAGGGCUGCACCUGCAGCCGUAUGAAGUUCCAGGCUAGGAGGUGAAUUGGAGCUGCAGUUGCAGGCCUAGGCUGCACCAGAUCCUUAACCAAUGAGCGAGGCCAGGGAUGGAACCCACAGCCUCAUGGACCCUAUGUCAGCUUUCUAACCCGCUGAGCUACAAUGGGAAUUCCUUUUUUUUUCCUUGAAGUUUUCAAUUUUGAUGAAGCCCAGUUUAUCUACUUUUUCCUGUGUCGCAUCCACUUUUGACAUAGCCAGAGAUCCACUGCCAAACUGUCAGGAAGAAACCAAGCACUUUCAAAAUAGAAAAAUGCCACGGAAGAAAUUUAAGACCAGACCAGAGCCUGUGUAGUGCGAUGGGUGAGGGGCCUGGAGGUCAGCAUCCGUCCUCAGAAAAAGGCACAUGGCACCACGGGUCAGUCCCACGCUGCCCCCAGAUUGUGGGGUUUGCACGCCAACCACCGAGUCCCCAAAUCUCCCAGCGCCAGAGGACGAUCCUGAUGCCAUCCAGCCCUGCCACGAACUACCCGGAGGGGGAGGCAUCCAGCCGCUGUCCCCGACGUCAGAGCAGCUGUGGGCCCAGACCUCCCGCACCUUCCGCGGGCCAGCUGUGAACUGGCCCCUGACCCUUCCUUGGAUUCUAUCUGGGAGCCACCGAGAGUCACUUCAUCAGCAACAAAUAGUCAAUGGGAUCAAAGGAGAAGAAAGCACGGGACCCAAAGAGAAAUCCUGGAGCUGAAGUAGUGUGACAGCAGAAAUGAAAAUGCCCCUGCAGAGUUUGUGGCCGCUGGGCCAGGCAGGAGAGCAGGCCGAGAACUGGAAGGCGGGAGGGCAGUGCUGACACCAACUGGGAGUGGACGACGCCAUUCAAGGCUGACACUCGCUAACUGGAAACAGCAUCAGACCCGCAAGCUAGAGAGCCAGGUCUCCAGAAAGGCUGCAGUGCAGGUGCCAGCCGCAGACAGCCGAUGAGCACGUCAAAAGGUACCCAACAGUCUCAGCCAUUUAGAAACACAAAUUAAAACCACAAGGAGAGAUCACCUGACAACCUAUCACGACGGCUGCAACCGGAAAGUAACCGUUUUAAAAGUGAGUGUCGGUGAGGGGAUGCAGCCAGGGGCACCGGCUGUGCCCUGCUGCCGAGGAUGUAAACGGUGCAGCCACUGUGAAAACCCGGUUGGCAGCUCCCAACAAAGCUGAACGGAGAAGCCGCCUCUCAGCCGGCAGUUCUGCCUCUAGGCUAUUCCCCAAAGACUUAAAAGCAGGGACUCAAAGAGAUACUGUAAGCGAGAACCAUGAGUGAGUGACGGACCUUUAGAGGUCCUGCUCAGCCUCGGGUCAGCACUGGGGUGAGCCUUGCCCCCAAGCAAGUGACAGAGAGUGACCUUUGGCCCCUUCCCCCUCUCCUUUCUCAGUAUGAAAGGAGCCUGAAUUGGGACUGAGGCAAGAUGGUUUUUGAGACACGAGUCUGCUAGCUUCUCAGCCUGCUAGCUUUCUGAUCAAAGUCGUUAUUCCUGCCUGAACGAUGCUCUCUGAAUGCAUCGGCCUGUUGUGCGGCGAGCAGAGCGAACUUGGCUUUCGUAACACUUUUUGGAGAGCAGUCAGGAGCCUGGCUGGGGCAAUUUUCUGGUACGUUCCUAGCAGCUGCCAGGACCACUCGUCCUGAGGCUCUUGCCCUCGAAACGCCCUCAAGUGGCACCGGCCGCCCCCGUGCCUGGCAGCUGGAGCAAGGAGUUGACAUGUGGGAGCCAGCGGGCUCCACGCGGUCGGGUAGGCCGCUCUGGUGUGUGUCACCGGGAACACGCGCCUCUCAAUGUGGGCUCUUUCUUUAGGGAAAAGCCAGUUUGUCCUGCAUCUGACCGCAGUACCGUGUGACAGAGGGGAACUCCUGGUGGCUUCUACCCGAUGUGAUCUGCGAACCGGUUCAUUUGCUUUUGUUCUGCUUUCAUCCACGACGGAAUCUGCUCGCUUUGGGACUGGAAUUUGCGCUUUUUGUGCUUGGUGCUUCUUCAACUUAUAAAUACGGGAACGCCUCCAUCUGUCCCUAAGGAAGGCCCUUCGGGGCGUAUCUUAAACAGCUGGGCAGCAAUGUAUACAUCUAAGGAUGACCUGACCCCCUUGCGGUACAGUGGGAAAAUAAAAAAAAAAUAAAAAAAAAAAAACACCUGGGCAAAAGAGAGCUGCGGCCUGGGACUAGGAAAGAGACGGUCGGCUACUGCCGCGGCGUGUGGUCCCACAGGGCUUAGGAUCUGGAGAGCAGUGGCCCCUGAGUGGCUCGCUUACACAAUCCCGCAGUUAGAAUGGUUUUGAGAAAGCGCAGGUGAAAAAGGUGACAUUGCAGACGUAGAAGCAUUUACGUUAUUGCAUCAGGAGGAAAAGGAGUCAGACGGCUGCCGCCUUGUCUGAGGGCAAAACCGAGGGAGAACCGGCUCCACGAGCGGGGGCGGGAGUAAGUGCCAGCGGGGGCCUGCCGGCUCAAGCCUUGAACCCCUCCAGCCAGCCCCACUCGCCCUGUCGCUGAGUGAGCUCCCCUGCCAGGAGUGUUUUUACCCUCUCCUGUCUCCCCUCCUUAGGGGGGAUCAACUAGAAGGUUCUAUUGAACCCCCGGAGCGCAGGGAGCCUGGUUUGGUGUCACCAUCUAAGACCCCACAGGGCACCCAAGUUGGACCCGGAGCCACGUCUGCAGCAGGACAGUCUCCCUUGUGCCACCGACCCGCAGGAGGCCUUAAUGCAAACAGCCAGCUGCGGGGUUUCUAUGGCACACAGGCCAUUCUCGACUUCUGACUGGUUUAACUGGAAAAAGCUAAAUCGUCCUACUUGCCGAGAGGCCCCCCUUCACCUGGCGGACCUUUUCACAUCCAGCCCUGCCACCCGCCAUCCCUCCCGGGCAGCCGUUCACACUCGUAGAACACGACGCUGGCUGGGACGACCUGAGGAUGGUGCUGACAAGGCCAGAGAGGAGGCCCCGGCGGAAGAGCCCGGAAGCAAGUGUGGCGGCUGCCACUGCGGAGCCGGACUGGGGUCCCCUGAUGGGGAUACGCCCCCCCCCCCGCCCUGGCACUACGGCUGGGCGUCUCGGUGGGUCUGCCAAGGGGGCUGCCUGGGCAAGGAGCUGAGACAAAGUCCAGGAGAUGCACCAGAACCCAAUGAGGACCCAUCCGAGUUGGCAGGAGGAAUCUAUCCAGCUUAUGGGCACUACACUGCUGCAGACCCCGAGGCCCCCGAAAAUACGAGAAUGGAAACAGAGCGCCCCAGAUGUAAGAGGGGAAUGACAACAGUAAGAGGGUGCUCGCCAAGUGUUCAGCCACAGGGACCAACGGCAGAAGCCAGAGGCUGUGAGAUGAGGCUGCCUUCUGGCAGCAGCACUGGUUUCCCCGAAGCCAAGGCACCUAGUAAGCGAGGGAGCCACCCGGGCCUGGGGAGCAGAGCGCCCGAGGCUGGAGAGUAGGACAAAACCGCUAAAACAAAGGCGGGAGCCUCUGCUGGGAGAGCAAGAGAAGCCUCUGAUGAGGAACGGAGAGGCCCAGGGGCUCCCUUGGACUUGAGGCGCCCAAUUCCAACAUCCCCACCGGAGCCCAGGUGACUCCGACGGGGGGGGCCCGUGGACAGGCUUUCUGAUAGAUACGCGUGCGACACACCCUGUGGUAAACACCCGGGUGGCACAGGAAACACCCCAUCCAUCCCAGUUUCGGGAGUUUCUGGAGAAGGACCAGUUGCUCUUUCUUACAACGGCUAGAACGCCGAUGAGGGGACCUCGCCCUGAAACCCAGUUGCGUACACGCGCCAGCGCGUCCGAUCCAUCGUCUGGGCCGCGAUCUUCUUUGUAAAUUAAAUGCUCAAGUCACUAUUUUGCCAGAAGGGCUUGUCAUCAGAGUCCCACCGGAGCGCGCCGUGAGCCUACACAUGGCACUCGCGGAUGCCCCAGCAAAGGAGGCAGCGCCCCUUCUCCCAGAGGCCUGCGAAGAGGUGAGGCCGGAAGCAUGGGCUGAAGGCACCCAGGGCGGCCCAGAACGCCUGGCUGAUACAAAUGCCGUCAUAAAGGGAUGCUGAGACACCUCAUCUAAAACAGUGCCCUCUGAGGCAAGAGGCCAAAAGGGAGCUCAGCCAAUUCUCGAAAAGUUUUUUUGUUUUGUUUUGUUUUGUUUUUGUCUUUUUAGGGCUGCACCUGAGGAAUAUGGAGGUUCCCAGGCCAGGGGUUGAACUGGAGCUACAGCUGC
RNAcentral lists this long non-coding RNA (5207 nucleotides) under Sus scrofa (pig). RNAcentral's name for it is "lncRNA (ENSSSCG00040044285.1)". Lineage: Eukaryota; Metazoa; Chordata; Mammalia; Artiodactyla; Suidae. The record is from RNAcentral.